This 532-nucleotide long non-coding RNA is filed under the name Manihot esculenta (cassava). RNAcentral's name for it is "long non-coding RNA (MESC_LNC000053)". Lineage: Eukaryota; Viridiplantae; Streptophyta; Magnoliopsida; Malpighiales; Euphorbiaceae. The record is from RNAcentral.
AGCAAGUAAAAUUAACCCCUAAUUUCACUUAUUCAUGGCAGAAUCAAAGGAAAACAGAAAAUCAUUAAAACACCAAACCUUUCUUGAAUUCUUCUUUUCUUUUCCUCUUCUAAUCUCUAGCUAUCUCCUUUCCCUUUGAUGUUCCUUCACCUAUGCCAAUUUAUAUCUUAGGGAAGGAUUGAAUAAAUUGUAAAUUAAAACUUUAUAAUUCAAAUUCAUGCAUGAAGAAAUGAGAUGAUGCUAUUUCCUACUCAUUUCUAAGCUCACCUUUGAUUUUCAAGCUUGGUGCAUAUGGAACCCUAAACUUUUCUUCUUCAAUUCUUUCACUAUAUGGCUGUUCCUUUAGCUCUUGAUCUUAGGAUGAAUUUUGGUUAAAGGAAGAAGUUGUUUUGGUAAGGUUUUGGCUUGGCUUUGGUGGGAGAAAGAAAAGCAAAUGUUUUUCUUCUUUGAAGUUGGAUGACCUACGGCAACAUGGACAAAGGAAGAAGACAAUCCCUUUUCUUUCUUUUGCAUUGUCAUUUCUUCUCUCCUU